CCUCUGAGCGCGGCGCGGCCCCGGGAGGCCGGCCCGCGGCGGCGGGGCCGGGAGCGCGGCCGGGGGAGCGGGAGGAGCGCGGCUGCUCGCAGCCGACGUCUCUGGGGGGUAGCGAACGAGCCGUGUCUGCCGUUGCGCCUCGGCUGCCGCCGCCCAGUUAGAGUCGAACCCUUAAAGCGUGCCUGUAAAAAGUGACCGCCCGUCCCGGGACCGUGCCGCUCCGGCUUGUUACCCGUCUUAAAACGCGCUGGCGCCUGAGAGGUCUUCCUUCGGGACGUGACGGACAGGUACACCGCCUCGCCUUUAGCGGGGAAAAAACGGCCCUCACAUCACUGCGGCACGAAGCUCGUUUGCGCAAAUAAAACUGUCACGGGUAUUCCUCCCGACCGAAAAUGUUCUCACUUGUCAAGACAAGAAGAAUUCCGAUUUGAGACUUUCACAGAAAAUAUUUCCGGAAACGGGACUCGUAGCGCGUUCUUUGCCUCACAAAUGCCUUCUCCUGUGUUUUUGAUGCAUUGUUAAUCAAGAAAAAUACUAACCAUAGGAAGUGGGGAAUUAAAAUUUUUCAAAGUGUUCACUAAGUAAGCAUGAAUCGAAUGGUUACUGAAAGGCGUGGUCAUACGGAUCUAAUUAUGCCUUUCGUCGGAGCCCUUUGCAUACGGUUUUGUUUAAUCUGAAACAACAGCCCUCGUGUCAAAGCUUGGGAAGCGAUACUGGGGCUCGAUCAACGAUCUUUAUUUUCAGUCGCUGAAGUUAGAAAUGGUGCAAGUGUCCGUCUUCUUACGCGCAUCCUCGUAAAAGCUUAACGUCUGAAUGUUAAAAUCGACGCUGCCCUAAAAGAGGCUUAAUAAAACGCUUCAUUGUUUUUUCCUCUUUCUGUUGUAAAUAACGCCAACAGAGAAAGCCGUAAGGGGAGCGUCGGGCUCUCCGCUUCCAGCCCCGUGAGCUCUCUGCCCGUGUGCGCGGGGCAGGAGGUGCCGGGUGCCACCCGCGCUCCCCCGGCACGCGGAGCUGCGGGAAGGCGCCGGGCGCGCCGCGGGCUGCCUCGGUCUCCGGCUCGGCGCGCUCCCCGUCUGCACAGCGCCGGUUUUCUGCCGCGGCGGCCCGAGCUCUGCCCCCGGCCCGCUGCCCCGAUCGCGGGGCUCGGGGCGGUGCCACGCCAGCCGCGCCCGCUGCGCGCCCUCCCGCGGAGCGUGGCGCACCGCCCGCGGCUCUCCCGCCCCUGCACGCCGGCUCUUCGGCACGGACGCUUUCAUCUCGGCUGACCGGAGGCGAGCCGGGCCCGUCGGCUAGGGCGUACCCUUUGCCCGGGCAGAAAACAGCCAUGCCCGCGGAGCAGCCUCCCCGGCGGGACGCCGUUGCCUUGCACCGCACCGGUGAGCAGGUGCGUGGAGAAGGGCAUCAAGCAUAG
This 1411-nucleotide long non-coding RNA is filed under the name Anas zonorhyncha (Eastern spot-billed duck). Its description in RNAcentral is "lncRNA (ENSAZOG00000003279.1)". Lineage: Eukaryota; Metazoa; Chordata; Aves; Anseriformes; Anatidae. The record is from RNAcentral.